UUUUUUUUUACAGAAUUUGACAAUUUGUGCAGGCUUUUGUUCAUGAUGGAUCGACCUUAAAGUCUUAACGAUUACCCUUUUCAACAUGCAACACUUGGGAUGUGGUGCUCAAUCCUGCUAUUUUUUAGUCCAUUAAUUUUUAUGUGUUUUCACCUCAGACAUUUUACUAAUUUCAGUUGGUUUAUAACUAGAGAUGCACAUAAAUAACUUUGUUCUGGUUUUCAUAAAAGAAAUAUGGCACACACCCGGAUGGUUAUUGACUAUAUGCUGCAACCCAUUUUAUUAAGUUGGUCUUUCUUGACACCAUUUUCUAUUGCAGAUUAUUGAAGAUAUAUAGUUUAAGCAAGAGAAUGAGCAGAAGUGUGUUUGGGUGAGUCCCAAAUAAAACAUCUCACUUCUUGUUUUGGAAAUCAUCUAUGCUUAACUCCAAGAGGUCACUAUCUGAAGGGAUGGUACAUUGCGAUAUUUUUCUUCUGUCACUAAGCUUGACAACAUCUCACUUAUUGUUUUGGAAAUCAUAUAUGCUUAACUCCAAGAGGUCACUAUCUGAAGGGAUGGUACAUUGUGAUGUUUUUCUUCUGUCACUAAGCUUGAUAACAUCUCACCAACUGUAGCAGUAAUGUACUGAUUUUUUCUGUAGGUUGUGUUUGGCAAUCGAAUAGAAAUUUUGCUGCUGAGGUAUGAAGGUAAGGACAAAAAUAUUGCCUGUUUUUUGUUUGCCUGGUUGUGUUCAUAGUCCAUUUUAAGCCCAUAUAAUUUUAUGUGGUUUUGAACUGUAUUCACCUGCAUCUAGAAAUAGAAGUUUAAUCUUCUUUCAUCCUUUGAGUGUGUGCUAAAGUUUCUGAUACCUGGAAGUUUUUAUCACAUCAUGCAAUAAUACAAAAAUCAGAAAAGUUCAGAUAUUAUGCAUCAUUUUUUUGGUAAAGACAUUACACAUCGCCUCCCGGGGUAUCUCAAAGGCUAUUACAACAAUUUGAU
This 978-nucleotide long non-coding RNA is filed under the name Triticum aestivum (bread wheat). Its description in RNAcentral is "long non-coding RNA (TAES_LNC015317)". The record is from RNAcentral. Lineage: Eukaryota; Viridiplantae; Streptophyta; Magnoliopsida; Poales; Poaceae.